RNAcentral lists this ribosomal RNA (492 nucleotides) under uncultured bacterium. RNAcentral describes it as "partial 16S ribosomal RNA". It matches the Rfam family "Bacterial small subunit ribosomal RNA", at positions 28 to 507 of the family's 1533-position model. The record is from RNAcentral.
GAUGAACGCUAGCUACAGGCUUAACACAUGCAAGUCGAGGGGAAACGACAUCGAAAGCUUGCUUUUGAUGGGCGUCGACCGGCGCACGGGUGAGUAACGCGUAUCCAACCUGCCCAUCACUUGGGAAUAACCUUGCGAAAGUAAGACUAAUACCCAAUGAUAUCCCACGAAGGCAUCGGAAUGGGAUUAAAGAUUUAUCGGUGAUGGAUGGGGAUGCGUCUGAUUAGCUUGUUGGCGGGGUAACGGCCCACCAAGGCAACGAUCAGUAGGGGUUCUGAGAGGAAGGUCCCCCACAUUGGAACUGAGACACGGCCCAAACUCCUACGGGAGGCAGCAGUGAGGAAUAUUGGUCAAUGGGCGAGAGCCUGAACCAGCCAAGUAGCGUGCAGGAAGACGGCCCUAUGGGUUGUAAACUGCUUUUAUAAGGGAAUAAAGUGGGUCACGUGUGACUUUUUGCAUGUACCUUAUGAAUAAGGACCGGCUAAUUCCGUG